GAGUUUGAUCGUGGCUCAGAACGAACGCUGGCGGCAUGCCUAACACAUGCAAGUCGAACGAACUCUUCGGAGUUAGUGGCGCACGGGUGCGUAACGCGUGGGAAUCUGCCCUUGGGUACGGAAUAACUCAGAGAAAUUUGUGCUAAUACCGUAUAAUGACUUCGGUCCAAAGAUUUAUCGCCCAAGGAUGAGCCCGCGUAAGAUUAGCUAGUUGGUGGGUAAAGGCCUACCAAGGCUACGAUCUUUAGCUGGUCUGAGAGGAUGAUCAGCCACACUGGGACUGAGACACGGCCCAGACUCCUACGGGAGGCAGCAGUGGGGAAUAUUGGACAAUGGGCGAAAGCCUGAUCCAGCAAUGCCGCGUGAGUGAUGAAGGCCUUAGGGUUGUAAAGCUCUUUUACCCGGGAUGAUAAUGACAGUACCGGGAGAAUAAGCUCCGGCUAACUCCGUGCCAGCCGCCGCGGUAAC
RNAcentral lists this ribosomal RNA (468 nucleotides) under uncultured microorganism. RNAcentral describes it as "bacterial SSU rRNA". It matches the Rfam family "Bacterial small subunit ribosomal RNA", at positions 9 to 524 of the family's 1533-position model. The record is from RNAcentral.